This is a non-coding RNA of Cryphonectria parasitica EP155, 81 nucleotides long. Lineage: Eukaryota; Fungi; Ascomycota; Sordariomycetes; Diaporthales; Cryphonectriaceae. The record is from the annotation of a RefSeq genome assembly.
UCCAAAAUAGUGGCAGAGCGAUGGACUGUAAUUGUGAUUAAAGUCAUCCACAGGUCGCCGGUUCAAAUCCGGCUCGAGGGA